Molecule: ribosomal RNA, 1411 nt
Filed under: Uperodon systoma
Lineage: Eukaryota; Metazoa; Chordata; Amphibia; Anura; Microhylidae
Description: partial 16S ribosomal RNA
Rfam family: Bacterial large subunit ribosomal RNA
Source: RNAcentral
GCCUAAAACCUAGCCCCCCGACAACUAAUGUGAAUCAACCCACUAACAAAUAAAAUAAAACAUUUUACACACUUAGUAAAGGCGAUUGAAAAAUGUCUAAGAGCAUCAGAAACAGUACCGCAAGGGAAAAGUGAAAUAAAAAUGAAAUAACUUUAAAGCACAAUAAAGCAGAGACUAAGCCUCGUACCUUUUGCAUCAUGGUCUAGCUAGUUUAAUCAAGCAAAAAGAACUUUAAGUUUGACACCCCGAAACUAAGCGAGCUACUUCAAAACAGCCUCAUGGGCCAACCCGUCUCUGUUGCAAAAGAGUGGGAAGAUUUUUAAGUAGAGAUGACAGAUCUAUCGAGCUUAGAGAUAGCUGGUUAUUCAGGAUUAGGAUCUAAGUCCCACCUUAAGCUAUUUUGUAACUACAAAUACACCUUUUAGCUUAAGAGCCAUUCAAAUAAGGUACAGCCUAUUUGAAACAGGAUACAACCUAAACCACAGGGUAAUGUAAUUAAAACGUGAACAAGUAGGCCUAAGAGCAGCCACCUUUAAUAAUAGCGUUACAGCUUAACCACCCAACAUCUACAAUUCCAAUAACAACCCAAAACCCUUAUACAAUACUGAAUGAUUCCAUAUUCAUAUGGAAAACCAUAUGCUAGAACUAGUAACAAGAAGAAGUCCUUCUCCAAAAUAUAAGUGUGAGCCGAAAUGAACAAUUCACCGGCACUUACCGUCAAUGAACACCUAGUAGCAACCCCACAAGAAAACCCUACUAAAACGAACGUCAACCUUACACUAGAAUAUUUCUGGAAAGAUUAAAAGAAGAGGAAGGAACUCGGCAAACCACUAACCCCGCCUGUUUACCAAAAACAUCGCCUCUCGACAAAUUAUGAGAGGUCCAGCCUGCCCAGUGACCAAGUUAAACGGCCGCGGUACCCUAACCGUGCGAAGGUAGCGCAAUCACUUGUUCUUUAAAUAAGGACUAGUAUGAACGGCAUCACGAGGGUUAUACUGUCUCCCCCUUCUAAUCAGUGAAACUGACCCCCCCGUGAAGAGGCGGGGAUAAAAAUAUAAGACGAGAAGACCCCAUGGAGCUUUAAACUCAGUUUCAAUUGCCCUUAUUUAUAUCAUUUAAACCGGGCAAAUAUGAUUUCUAGUUUUCGGUUGGGGUGACCGCGGAGCAAAAAAAAACCUCCACGAUGAAAGAGCCAACCCUCUAAUCAUAGAGCAACAACUCAAAGAAUCAAUAAAUUGACAUAAUUUGAUCCAAUUAUUUUGAUCAACGAACCAAGUUACCCUGGGGAUAACAGCGCAAUCCACUUCAAGAGCCCCUAUCGACAAGUGGGUUUACGACCUCGAUGUUGGAUCAGGGUAUCCCAGUGGUGCAGCCGCUACUAAAGGUUCGUUUGUUCAACGAUUAAAACCCU